AUCUUGUUCCUUUAGCGGGGAAUACAGGGCAAGUGUUGUACUGUAAAAAUUAAGCCUCCCAUGGUUCUAUAUAAUAUGAAACUCUUUCCUAGAAAGCUAGCUUGUUAUCUGGUGGCAGUAGUUCAGCUAGUGACCAUAUUGAGCAAGCAUGAAGUAUUGUUUGAACAUCUUUUUGUUUUUUUUGGUGCCAGGUAACCUCUGACGGUGAGGAUGGGCAGUGACGGGUUUAGGAGGGUGGUGUCGACAACUUUCCUCAACUCGGAGGAUGCUGGUGACAAGAAUGACUACGGAUACUAGGUGCCCCGCCCCCGCCCCCGCCCCCAGCAUGUUACCGCCACCCCCUCGAAUCCGGUUCUUCUCCCCUCAGAGCAAGACAACCAUCGUACGAUAAGGGAGACCAAAUUGAUGAAAAGGGAGACAUAAUUCACUGAAAAUACUCAUGUCAGGUAGGUUUUUUGCAGAUUUGGAGUAGCAGGAAAUGCAAUUGUCGAUUAUAGCUGCACUUUGAUCUUUUCCAGGUAUGAUUCCUUCUUCAGGUGGACUAAAAUUUAGGUCGGGAAGAACCAUCUUGGUGAUCUGAUGCUGCUGGGGACCUGAGGAGAAGGAGCCGACGCGGAAGAGAAGCUGGCGAGGAGCAACGAGCCUGGAGGUGCUUUCCCUGGCCUUCUCCCCUGGCCAGGGUGGGAUCGUUGACGCGGAAUUGCGGCCAGGGGGAAGCUUCCCGUGGGCGACGCCUGGCAAGUUGGGCGAGGAGGCCAUGGGCGACGUCGACGCGGGGAAGGCAUCCGAUGUGCUGGGCGAGGCUGGUACUGGGCGCUAACGAGGGGGAGAAGGGAGGUGCGCUGCUGGGCGAGCAGAUCUUGGGCAGCGACGCGGGGUAGAAGAAGGCGAGCUGGUCCGGGCGGCAACGCCGGGAAGAAGGUGGGCGGCGAUGCGGAGAAGGUGGAUGGGGAAGAAGAACCGAUCCCGAUCAAAUUUAAGACGAUCGAGGGCAAACUUGUACUUUUUCUCAUUUUCACCUGGUCGGAAAAUACCCCCAGCGUCUUACAUAUCGGAACGGAGGGAGUAGUGAUUUGCUCUGAUUGGUAGUGUUAUCCUAUCUUUUCUUUUGAUAUGCUUACCCUCUUCCAUGGCUGGUUUUCCUAGGAAUUUAUGUAUUUACUUUGGCUAGAAACAUGGUUUUUGGCCAGAUUUGGAGCAAUCUUGUGAUGUGUCUGACUUUA
This is a long non-coding RNA of Lolium perenne, 1223 nucleotides long. RefSeq lists it as uncharacterized. Lineage: Eukaryota; Viridiplantae; Streptophyta; Magnoliopsida; Poales; Poaceae. The record is from RefSeq and is a predicted model, not a curated record.